ACCCUCUUAGCACAGUAGGCAGCACAUCAGUUUCAUAAUCUGAAGGUCCUGACUUUGAACCUCAGAGAGGGCA
Bos taurus (domestic cattle) is the source of this 73-nucleotide non-coding RNA. NCBI's taxonomy places the organism in Eukaryota, Metazoa, Chordata, Mammalia, Artiodactyla, Bovidae. The record is from Rfam.